CAGCAGCCACGGGAAUACAGAGGGUGAAGCGUUGUUCGGAAUUAUUGGGCGUAAAGCGCGUGUAGGCGGCGUGACAAGUCGGGUGUGAAAGCCCUCAGCUCAACUGAGGAAGUGCGCCCGAAACUGUCGUGCUUGAGUGCCGGAGAGGGUGGCGGAAUUCCCCAAGUAGAGGUGAAAUUCGUAGAUAUGGGGAGGAACACCGGUGGCGAAGGCGGCCACCUGGACGGUAACUGACGCUGAGACGCGAAAGCGUGGGGAGCAAACAGGAUUAGAUACCCCGGUAGUCCCUGUCUCUUAUACA
This 301-nucleotide ribosomal RNA is filed under the name uncultured bacterium. RNAcentral describes it as "partial 16S ribosomal RNA". It matches the Rfam family "Bacterial small subunit ribosomal RNA", at positions 509 to 808 of the family's 1533-position model. The record is from RNAcentral.